RNAcentral lists this ribosomal RNA (624 nucleotides) under Frigoribacterium sp. 235-6. Its description in RNAcentral is "SSU rRNA". It matches the Rfam family "Bacterial small subunit ribosomal RNA", at positions 1 to 621 of the family's 1533-position model. The record is from RNAcentral. Lineage: Bacteria; Bacillati; Actinomycetota; Actinomycetes; Micrococcales; Microbacteriaceae.
CAUCGAUGUCGACAGAGUUUGAUCCUGGCUCAGGAUGAACGCUGGCGGCGUGCUUAACACAUGCAAGUCGAACGAUGAAGCAGAGCUUGCUCUGUGGAUUAGUGGCGAACGGGUGAGUAACACGUGAGUAACCUGCCCUUGACUCUGGAAUAAGCGUUGGAAACGACGUCUAAUACCGGAUACGAGCUUCCGCCGCAUGGUGAGGAGUUGGAAAGAAUUUCGGUCAAGGAUGGACUCGCGGCCUAUCAGGUAGUUGGUGAGGUAAUGGCUCACCAAGCCUACGACGGGUAGCCGGCCUGAGAGGGUGACCGGCCACACUGGAACUGAGACACGGUCCAGACUCCUACGGGAGGCAGCAGUGGGGAAUAUUGCACAAUGGGCGCAAGCCUGAUGCAGCAACGCCGCGUGAGGGACGACGGCCUUCGGGUUGUAAACCUCUUUUAGUAGGGAAGAAGCGAUGUGCUUGUCACAUCAUGACGGUACCUGCAGAAAAAGCACCGGCUAACUACGUGCCACAGCCGCGGUAAUACGUAGGGUGCAAGCGUUAUCCGGAAUUAUUGGGCGUAAAGAGCUCGUAGGCGGUUGUCGCGUCUGCUGUGAAAACUGGAGGCUCAACCUUCACCU